This 2961-nucleotide long non-coding RNA is filed under the name Manacus vitellinus (golden-collared manakin). RNAcentral describes it as "lncRNA (ENSMVIG00005007385.1)". The record is from RNAcentral. Lineage: Eukaryota; Metazoa; Chordata; Aves; Passeriformes; Pipridae.
UCUGCAGAACCCUCGUCAUUCCCCUCCCAGAGCUUCCAAAAUCCCUCGGCACCCUCGGGGGGGGGGAAGCCCUGAUGCCUCUUCCUGCCCUUUGUCCCGCGGUGCCGUGGAAUGUCAGUCCGGGGAGAUGGGAAUUGCUGCCCUCACCCCCUCAGUGCUGCCCUCACCCCCUCAGUGCUGCCUCAACCCCCUCCAUAAAUGGGGGCCUCUUGGUGUCUCCUCAACGCAACCCCUCAGUGUGCCUUGCAGAGGGGCUGGUUGGGGUAAAAGUCAAAUUAGGAACUGGUUGUGUCCGAGAGGGGCCGGGCUGCUCCUGCUUGCCAGUGGAAAACCAGCCUCGGAUCCUGCCCCGGCUGUGCCAGGGAAAUCCAGCUCUGGAAUCCUGCCCCGUGCUGUGCCAGUGCUGCUCCUGCUGCUCCUGCUGUGCCAGAGGAAUCCAGCUCUGGCCUCCUGCUCCGUGCUGGUGCUGUUCCUGCUGCUCUGUGCCAUGCUGGUGCUGCUCCUGCUGUGCCAGGGAAAGCUGGCUCUGGCCUCCUGCUCUGUGCCAGCAUUCUGUGCCGGUGCUGCUCAUCUGCUCCUGCUGUGCCAGGGGAAAACUGUCCCUGGUGUGUGCUCUGCUCUGUGCCAGUGUUCUGUGCCAGUGCUGCUCCUGCUGUGCCAGGGGAAACCGGCUCUGGCCUCCUGCUCUGUGCCAGUGUUCCGUGCCACUGCUGCUCAUCUGCUCCUGCUGUGCCAGGGGAAAACUCUCUCUGGCGUGUGCUCUGCUCCGUGCCAGCGUUCUGUGCUGGUGCUGCUCCCUCUGUGCCAGGGAAAGCCAGCUCUGGCACCGUGCUGGGUGUGGUGCCAGCGUCCCGUGCUGCUGUCCCGUGCUGGUGCUGCUCCCCCUGCCCGUCCUGUGCCGGGGGACAGCGGCUGUGCCACCCUGCCCUGUGCCACUGCGCCGUGCCAGCGCUGCUGCUGCUGCUGCUGCUCCCACUGUGCCAAGGGAAACUGGCUCUGGCACGCUGCUGUGUGCUGGCUGUGCCAGAGCUCUGUGCCAGCGCCCUGUGCCAGUGUUCUGUGCUGGUGUUCUGUGCUGUGCCAGAGCUCUGUGCUGGUGUUCUGUGCUGUGCCAGAGCUCAGUGCUGUGCCAGAGCUCUGUGCCAGAGCUCCGUGCCAGUGUUCUGUGCCAUGCCAGAGCUCUGUGCUGGUGUUCUGUGCUGUGCCAGAGCUCUGUGCUGGUGUUCUGUGCCAUGCCAGAGCUCUGUGCCAGCGUUCUGUGCCAUGCCAGAGCUCUGGGCUGGUGUUCUGUGCUGUGCCAGAGCUCAGUGCUGUGCCAGAGCUCCGUGCCAGUGUUCUGUGCCAUGCCAGAGCUCUGGGCUGGUGUUCUGUGCUGUGCCAGAGCUCUGUGCCAGUGUUCUGUGCUGUGCCAGAGCUCUGGGCUGGUGUUCUGUGCUGUGCCAGAGCUCAGUGCUGUGCCAGAGCUCUGUGCCAGUGUUCUGUGCCAUGCCAGAGCUCUGUGCCAGUGUUCUGUGCUGUGCCAGAGCUCUGUGCUGGUGCUGCUUCUACUACUUCUGCUGUGCCAGGGGAAUCUGGCAUCCUGCUGUGUGCUGUGCCAGUGCCCUGUGCUGGUGUUCUGUGCCGUGCCAGAGCUCUGUGCUGGUGCUGCUCCUGCUGCUUCUGCCGUGCCAGGGGAAUCUGGCAUCCUGCUGUGUGCUGUGCCAGCAUUCUGUGCUGUGCCAGCGUUCUGUGCUGUGCCAGUGUGCUGUGCCAGUGUGCUGUGCUGCUGCUGCUCCCUCGUGCCAGGGCACUCUGGCUCUGCCAUCCCGCUCCGUGCUGUGCCACCGUUCCGUGCCGUGCCAGUGUUCUGUGCUGGUGCUGUGCCUGCUGUGCCAGGGCAGUCUGGCUCUGCCCCGUGCUGGUGCUCCGUGCUGUGCCGUGCCCUGCGCUGUGCCAGCCUCGCUCUGCCCGGUGCCAGGGUGCUGUGCCAGCGCUUCCCCCUGUGCCAGAGCUCUGUGUCAGUGUCACGCUCUGCCUGGUGUCACUCUGUGCUGGUGUCACACUCUGCCCGGUGUCACGCUCUGUGCCGGUGUCACUCCGUGCUGAUGUCACUCUCUGUGUCAGUGUCACACUCUGCCCAGUGUCACACUCUGUGUCAGUGUCACUCUCUGUGCCGGUGUCGCUCUGUGCCGGUGUCACUCGCUGUGUCAGUGUCACACUCUGCCCGGUGUCACACUCUGUGCCGGUGUCACUCCGUGCUGGUGUCACACUCUGUGUCAGUGUCACACUCUGCCCGGUGUCACACUCUGUGCUGGUGUCACUCUCUGUAUCAGUGUCACACUCUGCCCGGUGUCACACUCUGCCCGGUGUCACUCCGUGCUGGUGUCACUCUCUGUGUCAGUGUCACGCUCUGUGCCGGUGUCACUCUGUGCUGGUGUCACACUCUGUGCCGGUGUCACUCUCUUGUGUCAGUGUCACACUCUGCCCGGUGUCACUCGCUGUGUCAGUGUCACGCUCUGUGCCGGUGUCACUCUCUGUGUCAGUGUCACACUCUGCCCGGUGUCACGCUCUGUGCCGGUGUCACUCCGUGCUGGUGUCACUCUCUGUGUCAGUGUCACACUCUGCCCAGUGUCACACUCUGUGUCAGUGUCACACUCUGCCCGGUGUCACACUCUGUGCCAGUGUCACUCCGUGCUGGUGUCAGUCUCUGUGUCAGUGUCACACUCUGCCCAGUGUCACACUCUGUGCCAGUGUCACACUCUGUGUCAGUGUCACACUCUGCCCAGUGUCACACUCUGUGUCAGUGUCACACUCUGCCCGGUGUCACACUCUGUGCCAGUGUCACUCCGUGCUGGUGUCAGUCUCUGUGUCAGUGUCACACUCUGCCCAGUGUCACACUCUGUGCCAGUGUCACACUCUGUGUCAGUGUCACACUCUGCCCAGUGUCACACUCUGUGUCAGUGUCACACUCUGCCCGGUGUC